This 2688-nucleotide unclassified non-coding RNA is filed under the name Leishmania donovani. RNAcentral describes it as "gene:LdHU3.34.5830(CDS-product:phosphomannomutase -like_protein)". Lineage: Eukaryota; Euglenozoa; Kinetoplastea; Trypanosomatida; Trypanosomatidae. The record is from RNAcentral.
CUGCCGAACAUCUCUGGGGCUGUUGACUGUGAGCCUCAGGGAAGAGAGAAACACGAACCAAGUGAAUCAUGUUAUCCCUCGAUGCGAAGGUGGAGCAGUGGCUGGCCUGGGACCGUGAUCCGGCUACGCGUCAGGUGAUCGAAUCCCUGGCAGCCGAGAAGGACACGGCGGAGCUGCGACGCCGCCUCGAGACGCGCAUGAAGUUCAGCACUGCCGGCCUGCGGUCUACCAUGGGGGCCGGAAGCGCUCACAUGAAUCGUCUCACGGUGCUGCAGACGGCUCAGGGGCUGGCGGCGUACGUGAAGCAACAGUUCGCCCCCGCGGAGCUCUCGCGCGGCGUCGUCAUCGGCUACGAUGGGCGACAUCACAGCCGCGAGUUUGGCGAGAUCACAGCCACUGUCAUGCAUCAGCAGGGCAUCAAGACGUACCUGUACCGCCACUGCAUCCCCACACCGUUUGUGCCGUACGGCGUCAGGUUCUUUAACGCGUUGGCCGGGGUGAUGGUGACGGCCAGCCACAACCCCAAAGAGUACAACGGCUUAAAGGUGUAUUGGUCGAACGGGGCGCAGAUUGUCGCCCCGCUGGAUGCGUCGAUCGCCGCCAGCAUCGAGGCGAACCUCACUCCUCUCGAGUCUUCGUGGGCCCCGUUCACCGCGACCGACCACGUAGACCCGUACGACGUCGUUUUCGAAGACUACUUCGCCACGCUGCGCUCCUCCUACGCCCCGGCCAGCGACGCGUCCGCCGUGCGCUUCACCUUCACCGCCAUGCAUGGUGUAGGGACCCGUUUCACGACGCAUGGGCUUCGGCACGUGCUGGGGCUUCCUGCGUCGCACCUCAGUGUUGUGGCAGAGCAAGCCGAGCCGAACCCGGACUUCCCUACCGUGCGCUUCCCGAAUCCGGAGGAGGGCCAGUCGGCGUUAGCCUUGUCCUUUGCAACGGCAGAGACCUACGGCGCUUCCGUCGUGCUUGCGAAUGACCCGGAUGCCGACCGCCUCGCCGUGGCGGAGCGUCUUCCCAAUGAGGAGGGGUGGCACAUAUUGACGGGCAACGAGAUCGGUGCACUGCUGGGGUGGUGGGCAAUGGAGCGAGCGCGGCGGCAGGGCAUCGCGCUCGAGCGCUGCCUGCUGAUGUCGACUGUUGUCAGCUCGUGCAUCCUCAAGACGAUGGCGGCCAGGGAGGGGGCGCAAUACUCGGAGACACUGACGGGCUUCAAGUUUAUGGGCAACAAGGCACUGGAGCGGAAGGCGUCGGAAGGGUUGCAGACGCUCUUUGCGUACGAGGAGGCUAUUGGGUUCAUGUGGGGCGAGCGGGUGAUGGACAAGGACGGCGUGACGGCUGCGGUCGUUGUCGCCGACCUCGCCUGCUACCUCCGGAAGGAGAGGCGGCGCUCGCUGGUGGAGCACCUGCAGAGCUUGUACCAGCAGUACGGCUACCAUUUCACGCACAGCUCCUACAUGAUGAUAGAUGACCCGUCACGGACUAAGGUGCUCUUGCAGAGCAUCCGUACUGCGGCUUCAGGGGAUUACCCCUCUCAGGUGGCGGGGCGGCCAGUAACGCGCGUGGUAGACCUCGCGGCGCAGGUAGACACGGCUGCCCCGUCUCGACGGCCGUCUCUCGGCAAGACGCCCAUGAUCACCUUUCACGUGGGCGGCGGCAUGAGCAUCACUAUUCGAGGCAGCGGCACGGAGCCGAAGAUCAAGUGGUACGCCGAGCUGGUGACCAAGGACGCGGCGGGACAGCAGGUGCUGAACGCUUUCGUGGCAAAGGCCGUGCACCAACUUACGCAGCCGCACAAGUUCGGUCUCGUCAUGCGCCCCGAAGACGCGGAGACGUUUAGUAAGCUCUAGCGUUUUCCUUCUCCCCAUGUACUUGUCCCACCCACUUUUGUAGAUGGGAUCGUGCGUGUGUGCGUUUCCUGUGCAAUUUCAGAGCGAUCCGUGCGCGAACCUACCCGGUCGAAGUAUUGUACAAGAGGGCGAGGCACACACAAGCCACGUCCGUCUCUAGUGCUCCCUCUCGCGCCCCCGCCCCCACCCUUUUUUUGGGGGGGGGGGGUGGCGGCUACGGCUCCUCCUUUUCCUUCCUUGCCUUUUCCUUCCUCAAGACGUCUUCUGAGCCACGGCGCGUUGCUGGGGCUGCCACUUGCCUAUUGAUUGCUUCUUCUUUGCACUCGCUUAUGCUUACCUACAACGCAGUCCUUCCUCCCCGCCCACCCACCCUCAACAGUGACGGCCAAACUUCGCGUCUCUCACUCGCUCUCCCUUUUUUUGUUGUUCUGUCGUGAUCGGGAGAAAAAAAAAGGAAAGGGGAUACUUGUGCCAGGUGCGUCAGGGUGUGUCGCGCUGCUCUUGGACUUAGUUGUAUUGCUAUGGCUUCUCCUAUCGUUCUUUUUUUUUGUUGUUGUUCGCCGCAAAGAUGUCGGUGCUGCCGUUGCACUGUUGCUCGAAUAGCGGCACUGAGAGCAUCGCCUGAUGCGCAUCGUCUACAGCACCCCAUUCCUUCACUCGUGUGCUCCUUCUUUGCUUCGUUUCCGUUGCUGUCCUCCUCUUCUCGCCGUUUGCUGCUGUGAUGUUGCCAUGCGUGUUGCUGAGAGGUUUUCGCACCGAAACACCACGCACACGCACACACAUACACACGCGCACAUGCGCCUGCGGUGCGUGGUCAGAGCACGCAAGGUAACAAAAG